GACGAACGCUGGCGGCGUGCUUAACACAUGCAGUCGAACGGAAAGGCUGUCCUUCCUUGCGUUGGACGGGUACUCGAGUGGCGAACGGGUGAGUAACACGUGAGUGUCUGCCCCCAACUUGGGUAUAAGCCUGGGAAACUGGGUCUAAUUCCCGAUAGGACUGCAGGGUGGUGCCUGUGGUGGAAAACGAUUUUCUAGUGGUUGGGGAUGAGCUCGCGGCCUAUCAGCUUGUUGGUGGGGUGAUGGCCUACCAAGGCGACGACGGGUAGCCGGCCUGAGAGGGUGAUCGGCCACAUUGGGACUGAGAUACGGCCCAAACUCCUACGGGAGGCAGCAGUGGGGAAUAUUGCACAAUGGGCGGAAGCUUGAUGCAGCGACGCCGCGUGAGGGAUGACGGCUUCGGGUUGUAAACCUCUUUCAGCAGGGACGAAGCGUAAGUGACGGUACCUGCAGAAGAAGCACCGGCUAACUACGUGCCAGCAGCCGCGGUAAUACGUAGGGUGCGAGCGUUGUCCGGAAUUACUGGGCGUAAAGAGCUCGUAGGCGGUUUGUCACGUCGUCUGUGAAAUCCUAGGGCUUAACCCUGGACGUGCAGGCGAUACGGGCUGACUUGAGUACUACAGGGGAGACUGGAAUUUCUGGUGUAGCGGUGGAAUGCACAGAUAUCAGGAAGAACACCGAUGGCGAAGGCAGGUCUCUGGGUAGUAACUGACGCUGAGGAGCGAAAGCAUGGGUAGCGAACAGG
This 745-nucleotide ribosomal RNA is filed under the name uncultured bacterium. RNAcentral describes it as "bacterial SSU rRNA". It matches the Rfam family "Bacterial small subunit ribosomal RNA", at positions 28 to 776 of the family's 1533-position model. The record is from RNAcentral.